This 291-nucleotide unclassified non-coding RNA is filed under the name plant metagenome. Its description in RNAcentral is "partial contains small subunit ribosomal RNA, internal transcribed spacer 1, and 5.8S ribosomal RNA". The stretch from base 1 to 54 matches the Rfam family "Eukaryotic small subunit ribosomal RNA", at positions 1778 to 1831 of the family's 1831-position model. The record is from RNAcentral.
GGAAGUAAAAGUCGUAACAAAGUUUCCGUAGGUGAACUUGCGGAAGGAUCAUUAAUGAGUUGUCAUGGGGUUCGAUGCUGACAGCCAAUUUUUGGAUGCAUGUGCUUGCCCUAACAAUCAUCUUCCAAACACCUGUGCACAUUUUUGAGGGAGUCUUGAGUUGGUUGCCGCUCUUGGGUGAUUUUCUCACAUUCCCUUAAAUCAUUAUACGCUAUUAACAAUGUUGAACGUGCUCUGUGCCGCAAGGCUAUUAAUAUAAUACAACUUUUAACAACGGAUCUCUUGGCUCUC